RNAcentral lists this ribosomal RNA (1046 nucleotides) under Lactiplantibacillus plantarum. Its description in RNAcentral is "bacterial SSU rRNA". It matches the Rfam family "Bacterial small subunit ribosomal RNA", at positions 1 to 1048 of the family's 1533-position model. Lineage: Bacteria; Bacillati; Bacillota; Bacilli; Lactobacillales; Lactobacillaceae. The record is from RNAcentral.
GGUAGACUGAUAAUGCAGUCGAACGAACUCUGGUAUUGAUUGGUGCUUGCAUCACGAUUUACAUUUGAGUGAGUGGCGAACUGGUGAGUAACACGUGGGAAAACUGCCCAGAAGCGGGGGAUAACACCUGGAAACAGAUGCUAAUACCGCAUAACAACUUGGACCGCAUGGUCCGAGUUUGAAAGAUGGCUUCGGCUAUCACUUUUGGAUGGUCCCGCGGCGUAUUAGCUAGAUGGUGGGGUAACGGCUCACCAUGGCAAUGAUACGUAGCCGACCUGAGAGGGUAAUCGGCCACAUUGGGACUGAGACACGGCCCAAACUCCUACGGGAGGCAGCAGUAGGGAAUCUUCCACAAUGGACGAAAGUCUGAUGGAGCAACGCCGCGUGAGUGAAGAAGGGUUUCGGCUCGUAAAACUCUGUUGUUAAAGAAGAACAUAUCUGAGAGUAACUGUUCAGGUAUUGACGGUAUUUAACCAGAAAGCCACGGCUAACUACGUGCCAGCAGCCGCGGUAAUACGUAGGUGGCAAGCGUUGUCCGGAUUUAUUGGGCGUAAAGCGAGCGCAGGCGGUUUUUUAAGUCUGAUGUGAAAGCCUUCGGCUCAACCGCAGAAGUGCAUCGGAAACUGGGAAACUUGAGUGCAGAAGAGGACAGUGGAACUCCAUGUGUAGCGGUGAAAUGCGUAGAUAUAUGGAAGAACACCAGUGGCGAAGGCGGCUGUCUGGUCUGUAACUGACGCUGAGGCUCGAAAGUAUGGGUAGCAAACAGGAUUAGAUACCCCUGGUAGUCCAUACCGUAAACGAUGAAUGCUAAGUGGUUUGGGAGGGGUUUCCGCCCUUCAGUGCUGCAGCUAACGCAUUAAGCAUUCCGCCCUGGGGGAGUACGGCCGCAAGGCUGAAACUCAAAGGAAUUUGACGGGGGCCCGCACAAGCGGUGGAGCAUGUGGUUUAAUUCGAAGCUACGCGAAGAACCUUACCAGUCUUGACAUACUAUGCAAAUCUAAGAGGAUUAGACGUUCUCUUUCGGGGACAUGGAUACAGGUGGGUGG